GAUGAACGCUGGCGGCGUGCCUAAUACAUGCAAGUCGAGCGAACAGACGAGGAGCUUGCUCCUCUGACGUUAGCGGCGGACGGGUGAGUAACACGUGGAUAACCUACCUAUAAGACUGGGGUAACUUCGGGAAACCGGAGCUAAUACCGGAUAAUAUAUUGAACCGCAUGGUUCAAUAGUGAAAGACGGCUUUGCUGUCACUUAUAGAUGGAUCCGCGCCGCAUUAGCUAGUUGGUAAGGUAACGGCUUACCAAGGCGACGAUGCGUAGCCGACCUGAGAGGAUGAUCGGCCACACUGGAACUGAGACACGGUCCAGACUCCUACGGGAGGCAGCAGUAGGGAAUCUUCCGCAAUGGGCGAAAGCCUGACGGAGCAACGCCGCGUGAGUGAUGAAGGUCUUCGGAUCGUAAAACUCUGUUAUUAGGGAAGAACAAAUGUGUAAGUAACUAUGCACGUCUUGACGGUACCUAAUCAGAAAGCCACGGCUAACUACGUG
RNAcentral lists this ribosomal RNA (497 nucleotides) under uncultured bacterium. RNAcentral's name for it is "partial 16S ribosomal RNA". It matches the Rfam family "Bacterial small subunit ribosomal RNA", at positions 28 to 507 of the family's 1533-position model. The record is from RNAcentral.